AGUGGAUCGAAGUACCAAGAUGAUGUCCUCAUAAUACAAAAUCUCCUUCCCAUAGAGCAGUGUUGGGGGUAAUGAAUAUAGCAAUAGUAACGAUCGGUCCUCUUCUUCUAACUUCAUUCCAACAUUCAGGAACUCAUUGCUGAUCUAGUCAAAUCUCUGAAUAUGAAUGACUACAUCUCCACCUUCCUACAUCCGAAGACUAUAGAGCCGCUUCUUCAACAUCAAUUUAUUGCACAUUUUUUUUUUCAUGUACAAGUGUGUAAUUUUGACCAUAGCCACUUUGGGGUUCUCUCCUCCAACAUCGAAUAUAGGG
This 313-nucleotide long non-coding RNA is filed under the name Elaeis guineensis (African oil palm). RNAcentral's name for it is "long non-coding RNA (EGUI_LNC058969)". Lineage: Eukaryota; Viridiplantae; Streptophyta; Magnoliopsida; Arecales; Arecaceae. The record is from RNAcentral.